Parus major (Great Tit) is the source of this 4259-nucleotide long non-coding RNA. RefSeq lists it as uncharacterized. The transcript is spliced from 5 exons. The record is from RefSeq and is a predicted model, not a curated record. Lineage: Eukaryota; Metazoa; Chordata; Aves; Passeriformes; Paridae.
CCUUGGAGGGAGCAGGGGAAAAUAGUACCUCCAGAGGCUGCUGAGAUCCCAGUUUGUCUGGACUGGCCUUGGGAGGUGCCCAUUUCUAUCCUCUGACUAUAGCAAAAGCUUCUGCUUUCUUUAUUUAGGGGGAAGGAAGGUAGGUUCAAGCUGUGAGGUCAGAGGGCAGCUAGAUGUUUCUACCUUGUUAUCAUACAGAAUGGUUUGUUGGUGCAGCACCCACCCAGGUUUCAGUGUUUGUCCAGGUUUGUUUGGGAAUUGCCUCACCAAGUCAAGUGCUCGUGACAUUUGUAAAGAUGAGGUUGGUGCCUUCACAUCUGUGGCAGAGGCUGGAAACUGUGAUUGCAGAAAGAUCUCAGGGCAGACAGGCAUUAACCUCUAGGGUGUUACUGGUUAAUAAUGUCCCACAUACGGCAAGAGAGAAAAAACAUCAGGAAUAAAAUCCAGUAACCCUGUCAGAGAAAACAGAAGAAACCAAUACAAAACAUUUCCAGAUGAAUGGUUUUGUGUCCUGUCUAAGAAGCCAGAAAGUCUAUGCAUCCCAUCUGAGAAGCUACUGGUCUUCUCAUCAGCCAGCCUGGGCAUCUAUUCAAAUGUAUAUGUAUUUAAUUUUCUCACAUGCACUGGAGGAAUCUCAGCUGGAAAAAUCAGCCAGACAACUCCCCCUGUGUCCGAAUCAGCAGCACAAGGAUUUGUGGUUAUCAAAGAAAACUUGCCCUUAAUUUUUAACAUUUAAGAAUCUGCUGGCUUUGCUGUUCUGUGGUUAGCUGAUUGUCUGUGUUUGCAUGCAGGAAUCUUUGUUCUUGUGCUGUGUCUCGGGAAUGCCAUGAGCAGUUGUUUUUGUUUGUUUGUACUCGGGUGGAGCUAACUGUCUAAUUGGGUAAAUAUUUGCAAUGCUAUAUUUGCAUGCACGGAAGACAAAGAGGGCUGGACUCCUGUUGACAUAAAGGGCCUUUUACACCAGGCCAACAAUGUAAAGGCUUAAAUAAAAUCGAUGGACUAUUUUCCAAUAUGAUUACGGCAAUGAAGACGUUACUCACUCUGCCUUACUCACUGAUUGCAAGUUCAAAACUGCUGGACUUCCACUGGGUAUUAGCUCUGUUAAAAAAAUGGUAUUUAUUUACCAGAGUGCCUUUGGAUAUAAGAGGUCCACAGUUCCAAGGAAUAGAUUUUCAACAUAAAAUUACACACCAAGAGCAAAUACAACAAACCCUAAUAUCAGUAUCAGUGUCACUAGUGACCUAGUCUGCUGAUCAUAAACUGAAUGGAGAGUCUGAAGUCAUUUGUCUGUGGCUUCAAUGGGGAAAUCAAUUCUCAGUUAUCUACGCAUGGCUUGUCUGGCUGAGGAUUAACCAGGCUGGGGAUGCACUGACCUCAGUUCAUUCACCACCUGCAAGGCUGACUUUGGCCCAGCAGUCUGUAUUGAUCCCAGCAGUGCUGUGUGCACAUCUGUCAGUUCCACAGCUGCCUCCAGCUCAUCAGCACAUGAUCUGUGUCACUCAGAGCUGUGUGGAGGCCUCUCCACAGCCCCUGCCAGGUGGGGCCAGCUGUCCUGGCCAGCUCCUGCAGAUACAACACCUCUUUCCACACUGACUCGGCAUAAACUGACUUUGUUGAUGCUCUGGGAUUGAUGCUGGCAGCCCCUCAGCUGUCAGAAGCUGAGGAAACAAUCUUCUUGGCUCCUUAGACCACCAGCAGAGGAGAGAUUUCCAACUUUAAAUAAACUAGUUUGUUACAAGUUAAAUUUAGUUAAUAUAGAACUGGGGGAGAUUGAUGCACUGUGUUGUAGGCGUGGUAGCUCUUCCCAAAACCUGGUCAUGGCUACAGCUCUAUCUUGUUCCAUGUGCUUCUCAGCAAAGUGGUUUUCCUGUUCACCUUCAGCAGCAGGAAUGGACUGCUUGAACUUGUAUUUACUUUAAAUAAUUAGAAUGCGGUGAGUUUAGGUCUUAAUGCAGGUCAUCAGUUAAAUUUUAAAUGUUUAGGUGCUUAAAUAAUAGACUCUGUGUUAAAGUGAUAUAAACAAAAAGUAUCUAAUCUGUUUUGUUUAAUUGGAAAAAAAAUUGCAGAUUUGUAUUUGCCUUGUUAUCUCUAUCUUUUAUUAUUCCAAAGAGGCUCUGAAUAGAGAUGUUAUCUCAGCUUUAGCUGUGCUCUUGCAAUGUUGCAAUUCGUCAAACCAGUAAUUUAUGUUUCAGUUGAAAGGAGGUGAGAAAUAAUUAACUCAUGUAUUGCAUCCUUGUCUUUGCAGGCCUUUCAUUUUCAGUGAGUACUUGCACUAGCAGUCUUUAUUUUUUAAAUUCCAGACUCUUCAAAACUCCUGGGCUUCCUCAGGAAGGCCAGGACUCUCAGCAGUCCACCUGAGUGCUUGAUGCCUUGCAGAAUUAAGUCCCAGGAGCCCAGUCCUGAACUGAAAUCAUUGGUCAUGUUCACAUUGACUUCAGUCUAGCAACUGGAAUCCUGGGGUAGCAGGAUUAUUUGUCCCAUUGAAUUACUGGCCCUGGUUCUCAGGAUAUUUCCUCACUCUGCCACUGACACCCACAAGUUGUUUACUUGCCCGUGUGUGCUUCUGGCAGCCUGUAUUCCUGGAUGACCUAUUUUUGCAGGAAUCAAAUGCCCGUGGCAGCAGUGUUUUAUUGGCCCUUGCUGGGCUGACACCACUGCAGUGAGAGUGCUCAUGGUCAGUGACACUGCAAAUCCUGGCUGAGCAAACUGACUUCUGCCAGCUUUGCAGCAGCUUUUAUGUCAAUCCCUUACUAGCAGGAGAGGAUGGGCUCAUAAAGACGUGUUUUCCAUGGACAGAACCAGCUCCAAGGCUAACUAGUGAGCACGGUGUGGUGACAGGAAUGAGGAGUUUCUGUGCAGAGCACACUCAUGAAGGAACCCUCCUCUUGUCCUACUGACCUGGUACUGAAUCAUAUAUAACUCAUGGUUUCCUCUGUAGUUUCAUCUUCCUCAGCUAAAAAUUUUAAGGGUGUGACAGAUCAGCAGAGGUCAGGUGAGACUGGAUGGAUGGAAGGGGAGGAGUUGCUCUCAUUUAGAUUUAUUUUUUUUUUUCCGUAACAAAGUUGGUCACACCUCUAAUAGCCAGACUCAGCUGUGUUUUCAGGUAAUCUUAAUAACAGGUUGCUAGGGUGCUUAGUUUGUUCAAUCCAUUCAGUAAUUAGAGCUGGUGCUGAAGUCGUAAAACUGAGUAUGGAGUGAGAUCUUAAUGAACACAGUAAUUUGCUGUAAGUACAGCCCUGUAGAGCUUCCUCAUAAAUGGCUUCUCCUUGGAUGGAGCAGUGCAGUCACCAAACAGGGCAAGUCCAUGUGGCAGCUGAGGACAAAAGCUGAGGAUCAGUCCAGCAGCACAGGAAAUGAAAUGAAAUGAAAGCUAGCAACACUCCAGGUGGAUUAGUUAUUUUUCAGAGUCUCAAAGUGCUGAGAACUCUGUGUUUUUAUUCAGUGUUCAGGCUGAUACUUCCAGCAAUAUACACAUGCUGAGGCAAUGUAUUUAAUGACUCAGGGGAAGAAGCUGUCUACUGAAUCACCAGUAUCCAAACCUGAAGAACCCAACAGCUUUCUGUAAAUCUGAAUAUAAUUAAGCAUAGUCUUGUUCUUUUCAUUAGGCAUGAAAUAACCAGAGAUUAUGAGAUUCCAUUUACAUAACAGUAAAAAAAAUAUAAAAAAUUACUUGUUUUAGUUUUCUACCCCAGAAUCUGGAACCUACAAUCUAAUGCAGUGUGUUGUUUAUGAGGACUGAGAAAAGGAUAAAACAGCUAGAAGAAACAUACAUCCUAAAUAUGAAAACAACAUUUCUGCUCAUGAAAUUCCUAAACCAGACGUUGUUAGAAGCUGGGAAAAUAUUCUAGAGGGCAAACCAAGCAAUCUUGUGUGGUUCUUAACCCACUGCAGUAGUAGGAACUUUGAUUUGAUCUAGGGUGGCUGUCGUCAGCACUCACCAUGUGCUCUGAACACCACAAGCAGUUGCAUCAGAUUAGAAGAACAGACAGUGGCUGUCCCAGACUGUCCCAAAAAUAUAGCAAGUCACUGGAAAUCCUGUUUUCCUGGCUGUACUCAAAACACGUCUGUUUCUGGUCAGUGAAGACGCAAGCACUGUUCCUGGUCUGAACAGAACCACAGCCUGCUCCCAGGGAUGCUGGUGAAGAUUAGCAGUGAACUGGGACUCUUACCCAAACAUCUUAGCCAUUAUGGUUGUCUUUGUGCUCUAUAAAUCAGAUGCAUGUGAACAAACACCCUACUGAGAGGGUAUUUCUGUAAGA